RNAcentral lists this ribosomal RNA (484 nucleotides) under uncultured bacterium. Its description in RNAcentral is "partial 16S ribosomal RNA". It matches the Rfam family "Bacterial small subunit ribosomal RNA", at positions 30 to 507 of the family's 1533-position model. The record is from RNAcentral.
AUUGAACGCUGGCGGCAGGCCUAACACAUGCAAGUCGAGCGGAUGAAGGGAGCUUGCUCCUGGAUUCAGCGGCGGACGGGUGAGUAAUGCCUAGGAAUCUGCCUGGUAGUGGGGGAUAACGUCCGGAAACGGGCGCUAAUACCGCAUACGUCCUGAGGGAGAAAGUGGGGGAUCUUCGGACCUCACGCUAUCAGAUGAGCCUAGGUCGGAUUAGCUAGUUGGUGGGGUAAAGGCCUACCAAGGCGACGAUCCGUAACUGGUCUGAGAGGAUGAUCAGUCACACUGGAACUGAGACACGGUCCAGACUCCUACGGGAGGCAGCAGUGGGGAAUAUUGGACAAUGGGCUGAAGCCUGAUCCAGCCAUGCCGCGUGUGUGAAGAAGGUCUUCGGAUUGUAAAGCACUUUAAGUUGGGAGGAAGGGCAGUAAGUUAAUACCUUGCUGUUUUGACGGUACCAACAGAAUAAGCACCGGCUAACUUCGUG